GGUAGACGCUACGGACUUAAAUAAUUCGAGCUUUAGUAGAAAAACUUACUAAGUGUUAGCUUUCAAAUUCAGGGAAACUUAGGUUGAAAAAAGUAUAGGCAAUCCUGAGCCAAAUUUUUUUUUUGAAUGAAAUAGGUGCAGAGACUCAAUGGAAGCUAUCCUAACGUAAAAAUUUUUAAGAUUUAUUUAAUUGCAUUUUAUAAGUUAGUAUAAAUAAAAACGUUUAAUUAAAUCUUCAUUUUCUAUGACAGAAUAAGCGAGGAUAAAGAUAGAGUCCAAUUUUACAUGUUAAUUUUAACACAAUUUGAAUUGUAGUAGAAAGAAAAUCCGUUGGCUUUAUUGACCGUGAGGGUUCAAGUCCCUCUACCCCCAAAACUAUUCUUUUUUUUCUCAUCGACAGAAGCUUUUAAUUUAUGUUAGUAUAGCUCAAACAAAAGAAGAGCCGGAAUAGCUCAGUUGGUAGAGCAGAGGACUGAAAAUCCUCGUGUCAC
RNAcentral lists this unclassified non-coding RNA (491 nucleotides) under Syrrhopodon fimbriatulus. RNAcentral's name for it is "partial contains tRNA-Leu, trnL-trnF intergenic spacer, and tRNA-Phe". The stretch from base 9 to 298 matches the Rfam family "Group I catalytic intron". Rfam says of the family: Group I catalytic introns are large self-splicing ribozymes. They catalyse their own excision from mRNA, tRNA and rRNA precursors in a wide range of organisms. Lineage: Eukaryota; Viridiplantae; Streptophyta; Bryopsida; Dicranales; Calymperaceae. The record is from RNAcentral.